UACGUAGGUGGCGAGCGUUGUCCGGAAUUACUGGGCGUAAAGGGCGCGUAGGUGGGUUUGUAAGUCAGAGGUGAAAUCCUGCAGCUUAACUGUAGAACUGCCUCUGAUACUGCAAAUCUUGAGUUCAGAAGAGAGAAGCGGAAUUCCAGGUGUAGUAGUGAAAUACGUAGAUAUCUGGAAGAACACCAGUGGCGAAGGCGGCUUCUUGGUCUGUAACUGACACUGAGGCGCGAAAGCGUGGGGAGCAAACAGGAUUAGAUACCCUAGUAGU
RNAcentral lists this ribosomal RNA (271 nucleotides) under uncultured bacterium. RNAcentral describes it as "partial 16S ribosomal RNA". It matches the Rfam family "Bacterial small subunit ribosomal RNA", at positions 524 to 794 of the family's 1533-position model. The record is from RNAcentral.